AGAAAUUUAGGUUAAAUAUAGACCAGAAGCCUUCAAAGCUCCUAGUAAGUUAAACUACUUAAUUUCUG
This 68-nucleotide transfer RNA is filed under the name Colobus angolensis palliatus. RNAcentral's name for it is "tRNA-Trp". Lineage: Eukaryota; Metazoa; Chordata; Mammalia; Primates; Cercopithecidae. The record is from RNAcentral.